AUAUUUUUUUUAUAGUACCUUUUGUAUCAGGGUUUAUUAAGUUUUUACUAAUUAUUAUUAUUAAUCCCGAAAUUAAAAGAUAUACAGUUUUAUGAAAGUUUAUGUUUUAUAAUGAUUUUGAAUUUAACUGUAGAGGUUAUAUGCUAUUCAUUUUUAAAUAUCUGGUUAUCUAAUAAAUUAAUUUAAUUAA
Molecule: ribosomal RNA, 190 nt
Filed under: Stenocoris furcifera
Lineage: Eukaryota; Metazoa; Arthropoda; Insecta; Hemiptera; Alydidae
Description: partial large subunit ribosomal RNA
Source: RNAcentral